AUGGCUCAUUGUAUCAUGUUUACAUAUCAAUUAUAUAUUCUUCUCCCGUGCCUUCUCACAGUUUAUUCUCACGAUCAAUGCUAUAUUGGACAUGCAAUCAUCUUCUAAGAAAUUUCAUAUAUUUGUGUAUUUGAUUCUUUGGUAUGUAAGAGCUGGUAUUACUAUGUUCUUCUGGCUUAAUAUUUUAACUUGGACCACGAACAGUUAUGCUAGAA
RNAcentral lists this long non-coding RNA (215 nucleotides) under Nicotiana benthamiana. RNAcentral's name for it is "long non-coding RNA (NBEN_LNC017779)". Lineage: Eukaryota; Viridiplantae; Streptophyta; Magnoliopsida; Solanales; Solanaceae. The record is from RNAcentral.